GUAGUUAGCCGGGGCUUCCUCCUUGGCUACCGUCACUUUCUUCGUCACCAAGGACAGAGGUUUACAAUCCGAAGACCUUCUUCCCUCACGCGGCGUUGCUGGGUCAGGCUUGCGCCCAUUGCCCAAUAUUCCCCACUGCUGCCUCCCGUAGGAGUCUGGACCGUGUCUCAGUUCCAGUGUGGCCGAUCAGCCUCUCAGCUCGGCUACCCAUCGUUGGCUAGGUGGGCCGUUACCCCGCCUACUACCUAAUGGGACGCGAACCCCUCCUUCAGCGGAUUGCUCCUUUGACCUCAUCCCGAUGCCGGGUCGUGGUCUUAUGCGGUAUUAGCACUUGUUUCCAGGUGUUAUCCCCCUCUGAAGGUCAGGUUGUUCACGCGUUACUCACCCGUUCGCCACUAAAAUUUAUCUUCCAUCCGAAAACUUCUGAUAAAUCUCCGUUCGACUUGCAUGUGUUAGGCACGCCGCCAGCGUUCGUCCUGAGCCAUGAUCAACUCUGA
RNAcentral lists this ribosomal RNA (497 nucleotides) under uncultured bacterium. Its description in RNAcentral is "partial 16S ribosomal RNA". The record is from RNAcentral.